CUUAUUUAAUUUUAUUUAAUUUUUAUUUUUGGGAUGAAGGUUGACCACUGUCCCAUGGUCAACCUGACUUUUUCUUGGAUUUUUAUUUCACAAUUUACCAUUUAUUCUUGAUUUAUUUUUAACCUAGUUUGGUUGGUUGGCUUCUAGUUUGACCUCUGUUUUAUUUUAAUUAAUCCAUACACUAAUUUCUAUUAUUUUUGAAACCUUUUUGGGAGAUG
This 218-nucleotide long non-coding RNA is filed under the name Lathyrus oleraceus (garden pea). RNAcentral describes it as "Pisum sativum (pea) long non-coding RNA (PSAT_LNC034629)". Lineage: Eukaryota; Viridiplantae; Streptophyta; Magnoliopsida; Fabales; Fabaceae. The record is from RNAcentral.